RNAcentral lists this transfer RNA (87 nucleotides) under Leersia perrieri. It matches the Rfam family "tRNA". From Rfam's summary of the family: Transfer RNA (tRNA) molecules are approximately 80 nucleotides in length. The record is from Rfam by way of RNAcentral. Lineage: Eukaryota; Viridiplantae; Streptophyta; Magnoliopsida; Poales; Poaceae.
CCGACCUUAGCUCAGUUGGUAGAGCGGAGGACUGUAGUUUGUUGCAGAGAAAUCCUUAGGUCGCUGGUUCGAAUCCGGCAGGUCGGA